Molecule: ribosomal RNA, 639 nt
Filed under: Fomitopsis pinicola
Lineage: Eukaryota; Fungi; Basidiomycota; Agaricomycetes; Polyporales; Fomitopsidaceae
Description: eukaryotic LSU rRNA
Rfam family: 5.8S ribosomal RNA (bases 221-374)
Source: RNAcentral
UUGAAUUCUGAGACGGGUUGUAGCUGGCCGUUUCGUUUGAGCGGCAUGUGCACGCCCUGCAUCAUUAUCCAUCUCACACACCUGUGCACAUACUGUAGGUCGGCUUUUGAUUGGAGUGGGGUCUUCAUCGACUCUGCUUUUUAGUUGGGGCCUUCCUAUGUUUUAUCAAACACUACUUCAGUUUAAAGAAUGUCCUCUUGCGUCUAACGCAUUUAAAUACAACUUUCAGCAACGGAUCUCUUGGCUCUCGCAUCGAUGAAGAACGCAGCGAAAUGCGAUAAGUAAUGUGAAUUGCAGAAUUCAGUGAAUCAUCGAAUCUUUGAACGCACCUUGCGCUCCUUGGUAUUCCGAGGAGCAUGCCUGUUUGAGUGUCAUGGAAUUCUCAACUCUAUUUACUUUUGUGAAUAGAGCUUGGACUUGGAGGUUUAUUGCCGGUACCUGUGAUCGGCUCCUCUUGAAUGCAUUAGCUCGAACCUUUUGUGGAUCAGCUUAUCGGUGUGAUAAAAAGGUCUACCCCGUUACGGUGAACCAAGUAAUUCGGCUUCCAACCGCCCUUCACGGAACAAUAACUUUAACCUUUGACCUCAAAUCAGGUAGAAUUACCCGCUAAACUUAACCAAAUCAUAAGCCCGAAAAAAA